UAGAACUAAGUGCACUCUCUCUUAACUUA
This 29-nucleotide non-coding RNA is filed under the name Mus musculus (house mouse). The record is from RNAcentral. Lineage: Eukaryota; Metazoa; Chordata; Mammalia; Rodentia; Muridae.